GUGCUUUAUUCCUUCUUUACUAUGUUGAGUUUUCAAAACCGUUAAUUCCUUUGCUUUCUGCCAGAAGAUGAUAUGUUCCUCCAGGCAGUUGAGAGAAUAAUCUAAAAGAGAAAGCAUCUGGGAAUACAAGAACACUUACUACUUUUAGUUACUGGUAUUUAAAAUCUUCAAUUCCCAGAA
RNAcentral lists this long non-coding RNA (180 nucleotides) under Parus major (Great Tit). Its description in RNAcentral is "lncRNA (ENSPMJG00000015504.1)". Lineage: Eukaryota; Metazoa; Chordata; Aves; Passeriformes; Paridae. The record is from RNAcentral.